RNAcentral lists this small RNA (818 nucleotides) under Vigna angularis var. angularis. Its description in RNAcentral is "Non-protein coding transcript". The record is from RNAcentral. Lineage: Eukaryota; Viridiplantae; Streptophyta; Magnoliopsida; Fabales; Fabaceae.
UUUUAGGAUGUGCUAACAACAGCUGACAGAUUUUCAUACACGAAAACAAACUAUUAUAAACAAAUGGAUCAUCUUCCAGAGUCCAAGAGCAUCAAUUCUGCAAAAGGAAGUGUUCCUGAAUGUGACUGUUAAAGAAGAAGAAGGACAGAAUGUUCAAUAAUAUAAUCUUGACAUGACUACCAACACUGGUCGGUUUCCCAUUUCCUGCCACUUCCUCCAGCCCAGGAAAAUGUGUGAUUUCUUCCUGCCAUGGAAGCCAUAGCUGAUGAUCUUCUGUAUCUACUAUCUCUGUCAUAUUGAGCUCUCUUUUCUGGGUCAGACAAAGUUGAGUAAGCUGAUUGGAUCAUCAUGAAUUGGUGAGCUGAGCUUUCCUUCUGAUUCAUGGCCACAACAUCAGGAUGGUAAGUUCUAGCCAGCUUUCUGUAAGCAGCCUUUAUUUCCACGCAGCUUGCGCCAAUUGAAAUUCCAAGCACAUCAUAGAGGGAAGCCAUUUGUGCAGCACAAUAGCAGGGUCCUCUGUUUUCAGUUCUUAAGUGGAAGCAAUUUUCUUACAAAAAUUGGAACUUUGAGUUUUGGAGGCUAAGAUAUCAGUGGAUAAAAACCAGGAUUGGAUCAAGGCUUGAACAGAAAAAAUGUGGAACUGUGGGGUAGGAAAAAGAUUAAAGGCAGUUAAGGGUUGAGUUAAGAAGACUGAUAUGUUUCAAACUUGCCUUGAUACCAAAGUGAGGGAAAAAAGGGUUAACAAAUAAACUUUCUGGUGUAUAUUUGUUAAACAUUCAGUGGAGAGUGGAGAUGGUAAGUCUUCAAUGUCAUUCAAU